AGAUGGCGACCGGCGCACGGGUGCGUAACGCGUAUGCAACCUGCCUUGUACAGAGGGAUAGCCCAUGGAAACGUGGAUUAAUACCUCAUAGUAUCACUGAAUCGCAUGGUUUAGUGAUUAAAAUUUCGAUGGUACAAGAUGGGCAUGCGUAUGAUUAGGUAGUUGGUGAGGUAGCGGCUCACCAAGCCCACGAUCAUUAGGGGUUCUGAGAGGAUUAUCCCCCACACUGGUACUGAGACACGGACCAGACUCCUACGGGAGGCAGCAGUGAGGAAUAUUGGUCAAUGGACGCAAGUCUGAACCAGCCAUCCCGCGUGCAGGAUGACGGCCCUAUGGGUUGUAAACUGCUUUUGUAUACCAAGAAUGGUUAUUACGUGUAAUAAUUUGACGGUAGUAUAUGAAUAAGGACCGGCUAACUCCGUGCCAGCAGCC
RNAcentral lists this ribosomal RNA (432 nucleotides) under uncultured bacterium. Its description in RNAcentral is "bacterial SSU rRNA". It matches the Rfam family "Bacterial small subunit ribosomal RNA", at positions 86 to 516 of the family's 1533-position model. The record is from RNAcentral.